UGGGGAAUAUUGCACAAUGGGCGCAAGCCUGAUGCAGCGACGCCGCGUGAGGGAUGACGGCCCUCGGGUUGUAAACCUCUUUCAGCAGGGAAGAAGCGUGAGUGACGGUACCUGCAGAAUAAGCACCGGCUAACUACGUGCCAGCAGCCGCGGUAAUACGUAGGGUGCGAGCGUUGUCCGGAAUUAUUGGGCGUAAAGAGCUUGUAGGCGGUUUGUCGCGUCUGCUGUGAAAAUCCGGGGCUCAACCCCGGACUUGCAGUGGGUACGGGCAGACUAGAGUGCGGUAGGGGAGACUGGAAUUCCUGGUGUAGCGGUGAAAUGCGCAGAUAUCAGGAGGAACACCGAUGGCGAAGGCAGGUCUCUGGGCCGUAACGGACGCUGAGAAGCGAAAGCAUGGGGAGCGAA
This 405-nucleotide ribosomal RNA is filed under the name uncultured bacterium. RNAcentral's name for it is "bacterial SSU rRNA". It matches the Rfam family "Bacterial small subunit ribosomal RNA", at positions 355 to 772 of the family's 1533-position model. The record is from RNAcentral.